This 301-nucleotide ribosomal RNA is filed under the name uncultured bacterium. RNAcentral's name for it is "partial 16S ribosomal RNA". It matches the Rfam family "Bacterial small subunit ribosomal RNA", at positions 509 to 807 of the family's 1533-position model. The record is from RNAcentral.
CAGCAGCCGCGGGAAUACAGAGGGUGCGAGCGUUAAUCGGAUUUACUGGGCGUAAAGCGCGCGUAGGUGGUUUGUUAAGUUGGAUGUGAAAUCCCCGGGCUCAACCUGGGAACUGCAUCCAAAACUGGCAAGCUAGAGUAUGGUAGAGGGUGGUGGAAUUUCCUGUGUAGCGGUGAAAUGCGUAGAUAUAGGAAGGAACACCAGUGGCGAAGGCGACCACCUGGACUGAUACUGACACUGAGGUGCGAAAGCGUGGGGAGCAAACAGGAUUAGAUACCCGAGUAGUCCCUGUCUCUUAUAC